This 269-nucleotide long non-coding RNA is filed under the name Setaria viridis. RNAcentral describes it as "long non-coding RNA (SVIR_LNC005147)". Lineage: Eukaryota; Viridiplantae; Streptophyta; Magnoliopsida; Poales; Poaceae. The record is from RNAcentral.
UCUGUUACAGCUAGACUCGAACCUCUCGAUCUCCUUAUCUUCUUCAUUUGCCCAGGCUUGUAUCAUGACCUUGAGAGACUUGAUAUCUUCCGGGCAUCUCCUGCAAAAAUCUUGGAACAUCCGGCGAUCAUAGAGACCAUUCUGGAAUCAAUCUAUGACGCCCCGCUCCGUGAUGUCCAUGAUAGUGGCCUUCUUGUUGAAGAAACGACGUAGAUAACUGUGCAGGGUCUCGCCUUAUUGCUGCUUGACUUGAGACAAGUCAAUGCUGU